UACGGGUGGUUGGCUCUUUGCUUGCGCAACAACUUCCACCUGGCAUACCUCUUCAGUCUUGUGUCAAUGCUUGUAUCGCAUUGAACGCAUAGUGGGUUUCCUGUGUUGCAUGCCUAAUGAUGGUAUCAUUUGAAGAAUUGAUGUCCAUUUUCGUCUUGUGUUGCACAUGCGAUGUGAGAUGAACCUUGAAGCAGCCUUUGUGUUCCACUCUUUCGAUGCACACACAUUGAUUUUGUGGCCCACUAAGUGUUGCUUGGUCUCUUGGAUAUGGAACCUGGUGUGGGCAUGGGAUCUUUACUAGUUCCUUGUUUGCCCUAGUUUAGCUUUUCUAAUACGAUUGUCUAUCAUGUCUUGACGUGGUAGGCUAUAUCGAAUAUGAAUGCUACCU
RNAcentral lists this unclassified non-coding RNA (388 nucleotides) under Gamochaeta pensylvanica. RNAcentral describes it as "partial external transcribed spacer". Lineage: Eukaryota; Viridiplantae; Streptophyta; Magnoliopsida; Asterales; Asteraceae. The record is from RNAcentral.